This 15783-nucleotide long non-coding RNA is filed under the name Triticum aestivum (bread wheat). Its description in RNAcentral is "long non-coding RNA (TAES_LNC001257)". Lineage: Eukaryota; Viridiplantae; Streptophyta; Magnoliopsida; Poales; Poaceae. The record is from RNAcentral.
GACGAAGCCUCAGCGUCGCCUGGAAAAUGAAAUUUGACCUGAAGCUCUGGAUAUAAACUGACCUAAGAAUACAUUGUUUCUCAUGGGUCCUUACCCUAUUGAAGUUGCUCUUACACAAACCAAAUUAUUCAUCAACAUGAUAUACAUUGCCCGAUUCUCAAACCAUCCUUUUCCAAUUUCAUCCCAAUUUGGACACCAGCAGGCAAGAGAUACUACCCAAUUACAAGCCGCACAUUGUGAAGGGGAAAACUUGUGAUUCAAUUCAAAUGGGAGACAGUAAAGGUACAAGGAAUUGUACAAACAAGGAGUGAGAUGUGAGGAUAGGAGGCACAACCAUAUCGCAACUGCCACUAGGCGGUGCCGUCGCCGGCGCCGGAUUCCUCCUCGAGCUUGCGCACGUAGGCCGAGAGCACGGCGACGACGUCCCUGGCGGGCGCCUGCAGCGUGGUGACGAGGGAGGUGGCCGGCCCAUUGAGGGCGCCGAGCAGCUUGGAGUAGACCUCGGCGCGGCUGGGCAUGGUCUCGAGCGACUUGAACUCGGCGGGCGCGUAGUACUUGCCCUCGAACACCGCCCCGAUGAAGUCGUUGGUCUCCUCGACGCGCUCCUCCUUCUGGAAGGCGCGGUAGGGCUUGAGCGCGACGGGGACCUCCUCCGUGUGGACGAAGAGCCAGGCGUUCAUGCCCUUCAUGCACGGCUUGAGCGCCUCCCAGGGGGUGCCCUCGAUGGCCUUCCCCACCAGCGUGUUCUUCGCCACCAGGAGGUGGCACGACUCCGGCAGCGCGUCGCGGAUGCCCUGGAACUGCUUCACCGUCAGGCCCUCGUANNNNNNNNNNNNNNNNNNNNNNNNNNNNNNNNNNNNNNNNNNNNNNNNNNNNNNNNNNNNNNNNNNNNNNNNNNNNNNNNNNNNNNNNNNNNNNNNNNNNNNNNNNNNNNNNNNNNNNNNNNNNNNNNNNNNNNNNNNNNNNNNNNNNNNNNNNNNNNNNNNNNNNNUGUCCUCCUUGCGCCCGCGGGAGAUGGCGGCGCGGAUGGUGGAGCGGCGCAGAGGGCGGGGGCACCGCGGGGCCGCGGCUAGGGUUUGGAACGCCGGGAGGGGCCGCGCGGUCGGGAGGAAGGAGGUCUCCAUUUUUCUGGGGCGGGCGGGCGGGCGCGCCGGGCGGGGGUUGGGUUGGGGAGAAACGGCGAGGAAGAUAGAGUGGAGUGGAAGAAGCUUAUCUAUGGAGAAGACGAUGGGUGGUUUCUUCCGUGGACACGGUGCACGUGGACCUUUGGAUUAUGUUUUCAUUUCCUUUGAGGGGUUCCUUUGGAUUAUGUGUGACCGUAUAUUCAGCGAGGAAGAUACACCGUUGUGUUCUUCGUAUUCUUACUUUUUUUAUUAAGAUUAUUACUCCUUCCUAUUGAAAAUGUGGUCCGAUACAGUUCUCUUUUUAUUAUUUUCUGUUGUUUGUUGUACUGUCAUGAUUGAAAAUUAAUAGAUUGAAAGUUUUUUUUAAAAAAUAUAUUAAUUUUGAAUAAGUUUAUAAAAAAUUAUUGAUUUUUACAAUACCAAAUACAUACAUUAGGGCAUCUCCAACGCUGACCCAAAAAAUGGACACCGCAUCCAUCCGCGGAGCCGGCCAUCCAAUGUUAACCGCAUACAUUUCAAAUUAGAUUUAAAAUAACCGGGGGAAAUUCACGCAAACCGGAUGAUAUUCAUACAAAUCGGAAUACAUUCAGUACAUUUUAAACAUUUUUCAAUAAGAAAGGGGGAGGGGCGGACCUAAACCUAGACUACGGCGGCGUCCGGCGUCCAAAUCCUUGUUGUUCCCUUCAUCUGCCGUCUCCAUGAGCAGCAACGACGACAAAACCCGUGAAGUGAAGGUGCGAUUGCCGGCAAGGAAGAGUAGAACAUGGUAAACGGACCGGCCCACAUAAGACAAAAGGCCUUGUUGCCUCCCAUGCCCUACUCAUCCUCGCGUGCGAGUCCGCGACCUGUCCGUCGGCGGUGGGCAUGAGGCCCACAAUGAAAAUGGAGGGGAUGACCAUGUCAUCGUCCCACCGGUGUGGCCAAACAGUGUUUGGCGGGGCAUAGGACGCGCAGUUGGCGGCGUUCUUGUCCACAAUUGCCUGCACAGCCAGCGCCACUUCCACGAGCGGCGGCUUGAGCGCGGGCGGCCUCGUAGAGCGCCCGCUGCUCGACGACGAAGUUGGGGUUCGCCGCGGCUAUGUCCAUCACGACCUUCUCGCCCGCGCACUCGCUGUAGAUUUGACACUCUGCCAACUGGUGCAUCUCGAGAAGAACGGGUUGUAACAUUGUUCGUCCUACGCCUGCUGGACCACCGACAUAGGCGCGCGGCAGUGGUGUUGUUGUGAGAGACCUCGAGGGAGCUGGCCGGCAUGCCGACCUCGAUCCGCAUGUGUAACACCCCGGAUGUAAUUUACCUUAUUUGUAUUCCAACUCUCGCCUUUUCCAGCACUAAGUUAUGUUAUUUUCUCGUUGUUGGGUUUUUGUCUCCGUGUGUUUUGUCUUUGUCAUGCAUCUCAUAUCAUGUCAUCAUGUGCAUUGCAUUUGCAUACACGUUCGUCUCAUGUAUCCGAGCAUUUUCCCCGUUGUCCGUUUUGCAUUCCGGCGCUCCUAUGUCCUCCGGUGGUUCUUUCUACCUCUUUUCGUGUGCGGGUGUUAAACGUUUUCGGAUUGGACCGAGACUUUUCAUGCGGCCUUGGUUUACUACCGGUAGACCGUCUGUCAAAUUUCGUGCCAUUUGGACUUCGUUUGAUACUCCAACAGUUAACCGAGGGACCGAAAAGGCCUCGUGUGUGUUGCAGCCCAACACCCCUCCAAAGUAGCCCAAAACCCACCUAAACCCCUUCCAUCAUCUAGAGCGUUCGAUCACAAUCGCGUGGCCGAAAACCGCACCUCAUUUGGAGCUUCCUAGCUCCCUCUACCUCUAUAAAUAGGUCCCUCCCCGAAAAUCUCGGAUCUCCUCUUCCAAACCCUAGCAAAACCCACUCCUCUGCCGCGCCGGACAUGUCCGCCCCUGGCCGGACAACCGCCGCCGCCAGCCGUAGCCACUGAGAAGCCGCCACCUGUCCCGCCCAGCGCCCGUCUCCGCCGCGGCCCGGGAAGCCCGGAUCGGGCCCCCGCGAGCCCAAAGCCGCCGCCGACUGGCUCCUCGCCCGCGCCGCCCGAGUCUUGUUGGAAAUAUGCCCUAGAGGCAAUAAUAAAAGUAUUAUUAUAUUUCAAUGUUCAUGAUAAAUGUCUUUUAUUCAUGCUAUAACUGUAUUAUCCGGAAAUCGUAAUACACGUGUGAAUACAUAGACCACAAUAUGUCCCUGGUGAGCCUCUAGUUGACUAGCUCGUUGUGAUCAACGGAUAGUCAUGGUUUCCUGACUAUGGACAUUAGAUGUCGUUGAUAACGGGAUCACAUCAUUAGGAGAAUGAUGUGAUGGACAAGACCCAAUCCUAAGCAUAGCACAAAGAUCGUGUAGUUCGUUUGCUAGAGCUUUGCCAAUGUCAAGUAUCUGUUCCUUUGACCAUGAGAUCGUGUAACUCCUGGAUACCGUAGGAGUGCUUUGGGUGUAUCAAACGUCACAACGUAACUGGGUGACUAUAAAGGUGCACUACAUGUAUCUCCGAAAGUACCUAUUGUUUUAUGCGGAUCGAGACUGGGAUUUGUCACUCCGUGUAAACGGAGAGGUAUCUCUGGGCCCACUCGGUAGGACAUCAUCAUAUGCGCAAUGUGACCAAGGAGUUGAUCACGGGAUGAUGUGUUACGGAACGAGUAAAGUGACUUGCCGGUAACGAGAUUGAACAAGGUAUUGGAUACCGACGAUCGAAUCUCGGGCAAGUAACAUAGCGAUAGACAAAGGGAAUUGAAUACGGGAUCGAUUGAGUCCUUGACAUCGUGGUUCAUCCGAUGAGAUCAUCAUGGAACAUGUGGGAGCCAACAUGGGUAUCCAGAUCCCGCUGUUGGUUAUUGACUGGAGAACGUCUCGGUCAUGUCUGCAUGUCUCCCGAACCCGUAGGGUCUACACACUUAAGGUUCGAUGACGCUAGGGUUAUAAAGGAAGCUUGUAUGUGGUUACCGAAUGUUGUUCGGAGUCCCGGAUGAGAUCUCGGACGUCACGAGGAGUUCCGGAAUGGUCCGGAGGUAAAGAUUUAUAUAUAGGAAGUCCUGUUUUGGCCAUCGGGACAAGUUUCGGGGUCAUCGGUAUUGUACCGGGACCACCGGAAGGGUCCCGGGGGCCCACCGGGUGGGGCCACCUGCCCCGGGGGGCCACAUGGGCUGUAGGGGGUGCGCCUUGGCCUACAUGGGCCAAGGGCACCAGCCCCAAGAGGCCCAUGCGCCUAGGGAACCCUAGAGGGAAGAGUCCUCAAGGGGGAAGGCACCUCCGAGGUGCCUUGGGGAGGAUGGACUCCUCCCCCCCUCUUGGCCGCCGCACCAGAUGCCAUCUGGAGGCUGGCCGCCGCCCCUUGGGGUGGGAAACCCUAAAGGGGGCGCAGCCCUCCCCUUCCCCUAUAUAUAUGAGGCCUAGGGGCUGCCCAUAACACGCGAUUUGAUCUCUGGUUGGUGCAGCCCUGCCCCUCUCCCUCCUCCUCUUCUCCCAUGGUGCUUGGCGAAGCCCUGCGGGAUUACCACGCUCCUCCACCACCACCACGCCGUUGUGCUGCUGCUGGAUGGAGUCUUCCUCAACAUCUCCCUCUCUCCUUGCUGGAUCAAGGCGUGGGAGACGUCACCGGGCUGUACGUGUGUUGAACGCGGAGGUGCCGUGCGUUCGGCACUUGAUCAUCGGUGAUCUGAAUCAUGACGAGUACGACUCCAUCAACCCCGUUCACUUGAACGCUUCCGCUUAGCGAUCUACAAGGGUAUGUAGAUGCACUCUCUUUCUACUCGUUGUUGGUCUCUCCAUAGAUAGAUCUUGGUGACACGUAGGAAAAUUUUAAAUUUCUGCUACGUUCCCCAACAGUGGCAUCAUGAGCUAGGUCUAUUGCGUAGAUUCUUUGCACGAGUAGAACACAAAGUAGUUGUGGGCGUUGAUGUUGUUCAAUAUGCUUACCGUUACUAGUCCAAUCUUGUUUCGGCGGUAUUGUGGGAUGAAGCGGCCCGGACCGACCUUACACGUACUCUUACGUGAGACAGGUUCCACCGAUUGACAUGCACUUGGUGCAUAAGGUGGCUAGCGGGUGCCAGUCUCUCUCACUUUAGUCGGAACGGAUUCGAUGAAAAGGGUCCUUAUGAAGGGUAAAUAGCAAUUGGCAUAUCAUGUUGUGGUCUUGCGUAGGUAAGAAACGUUCUUGCUAGAAACCCAUAGCAGCCACGUAAAACAUGCAACAACAAUUAGAGGACGUCUAACUUGUUUUUGCAGGGUAUGCUAUGUGAUGUGAUAUGGCCAAAGGAUGUGAUGAAUGAAUAUAUGUGAUGUAUGAGAUUGAUCAUGUUCUUGUAAUAGGAUUCACGACUUGCAUGUCGAUGAGUAUGACAACCGGCAGGAGCCAUAGGAGUUGUCUUUAUUUUUUGUAUGACCUGCGUGUCAUUGAAGAACGCCAUGUAAACUACUUUACUUUAUUGCUAAACGCGUUAGUCAUAGAAGUAGAAGUAGUCGUUGGCGUGACAACUUCAUGAAGACACGAUGAUGGAGAUCAUGAUGAUGGAGAUCAUGGUGUCAUGCCGGUGACAAGAUGAUCAUGGAGCCCCGAAGAUGGAGAUCAAUGGAGCUAUAUGAUAUUGGCCAUAUCAUGUCACAACUAUAUAAUUGCAUGUGAUGUUUAUUAUGUUUAUGCAUCUUGUUUGCUUAGAACGACGGUAGUAAAUAAGAUGAUCCCUUACAAAAUUUCAAGAAGUGUUCUCCCCUAACUGUGCACCGUUGCUACAGUUCAUCGCUUCUAAGCACCACGUGAUGAUCGGGUGUGAUGGAUUCUUACAUUCACAUACAACGGGUGUAAGACAGUUUUACACAGCGAAAACACUUAGGGUUAACUUGACGAGCCUAGCAUGUGCAGACAUGGCCUCGGAACACGGAGACCGAAAGGUCGAGCAUGAGUCGUAUAGUAGAUACGAUCAACAUAAAGAUGUUCACCGAUGAUGACUAGUCCGUCUCACGUGAUGAUCGGACACGGUCUAGUUGACUCGGAUCAUGUAAUCACUUAGAUGACCAGAGGGAUGUCUAUCUGAGUGGGAGUUCAUAAGAUGAACUUAAUUAUCCUGAACAUAGUCAAAAGACCUUUUGCAAAUUAUGUCGUAGCUCGCGCUUUAGUUCCACUGUUUAGAUAUGUUCCUAGAGAAAAUAUAGUUGAAAGUUGACAGUAGCGAUUAUGCGAACAGUAGAAAGCUUAUGUCCUUAAUGCACUGCUCAGUGUGCUGAACCCCAAACGUCGUUUGUGGAUGUUGCGAACAUCGGACAUACACGUUUUGAUAACUACGUGAUAGUUCAGUUAAACGGUUUAGAGUUGAGGCACUAAAGACGUUUUCGAAACGUCACGGAACAUAUGAGAUGUUUCGAGGGCUGAAAUUGGGAUUUCAGGCUCGUGCCCACGUCAAGAGGUAUGAGACCUCCGACGAUUUUCUUAGCCUGCAAACUAAGGGCGAAAAGCUCAAUCGUUGAGCUUGUGCUCAGAUUGUCUGAGUGCAACAAUCACUUCUAUCGAGUGGGAGUUGAUCUUCCAGAUGAGAUAGUGAUGUUUCCCCAAAGUCAUUGCCACCGAGCUGCUAGAGCUUCGUGAUGAACUAUAACAUAUCAGGGAUAAAUAAGAUGAUCCUUUAGGUAUUCACGAUGUUUGACACCGCGAAAGUAGAAAUCAAGAAGGAGCAUCAAUUGUUGAUGGUUGGUGAAACCACUAGUUUCAAGAAGGGCAAGGGAACAAAGGGAUACUUCAUGAAACGGCAAUUCAGCUGCUGCUCAAGUGAAGAAACCCAAGGUUGAACCCAAACCCGAGACUAAGUGCUUCUGUAAUAAGGGGAACAACCACUGGAGCAGCAUUACCCUAGAUACUUGGUAGAUGAGAAGGCUGGCAAGGUCGAUAGAAGUAUAUUGGAUAUACAUUAUGUUAAUGUGUACUUUACUAGUACUCCUAGUAGCACCAGGGUAUUAGAUACCGGUUCGGUUGCUAAGUGUUAGUAACUCGAAAUAAAAGGCUACGGAAUAAACGGAGACUAGCUAAAGGUGAGCUGACGAUAUGUGUUGGAAGUGUUUCCAAUGUUGAUAUGAUCAAGCAUCGCACACUCCCUCUACCAUCGAGAUUUGGUGUUUGCGUUGAGCAUAGACAUGAUUGGAUUAUGUCUAUCGCAAUACGGUUAUUCAUUUAAAGAGAAUAAUGGUUAUUCUAUUUAUUUGAAUAAUACCUUCAAUGGUCUUGCACCUAAAAUGAAUGGUUCAUUGAAAUCUCGAUCGUAGUGAUACACAUGUUCAUGCCAAAAGAUAGUAAUGAUAGUACCACCUAUUUGUGGCACUGCCACGUAAGUCAUAUCGGUAUAAAAUGCAUGAAGAAGCUCCAUGUUGAUGGAUCUUUGGACUCACUCAUUUUUGAAAAGUUUGAGACAUGCGAACCAUGUCUAUUGGUAUAUAUGCAUGAAGAAACUCCAUGCAAAUGGACCGUUCGGACUCACUUAAUUUUGAAUCACUUGAGAUAUGCAAAUCAUACCACAUAGGCAAGAUGACUGAAAAGCCUCGGUUUCAAUAAGAUGGAACAAGAUAGCAACUUGUUGGAACUAACACAUUUUGAUGUGUCCAAUCCAAUGAGUGCUGAGGCAUGCAGUGAAUAUCGUUAUGAUCUUACUUCACAGAUGAUUCGAGUAGAUGUUGAGAAUAUUUACUUGAUGAAACACAAGUCUGAAUUAUUGAAUGGUUCAAGUAAUUUCAGAGUGAAGUAGAAGAUCAUUGUGACAAGAGGAUGAAAUGUCUAUGAUACGAUCAUAGAGAUGAAUAUCUGAGUUACGAGUUUUGGCACACAAUUAAGACAUUGUGGAAAUUGUUUCAUAAUUAAUACCGCCUGGAACACCAUAGUGUGAUGGUGUGUCCGAACAUCAUAGUUGCACCCUAUUGGAUAUGGUGCGUACCAUGAUGUCUCUUAUCGAAUUACCACUAUUGUUCAUGGGUUAGGCAUUAGAGACAACCACAUUCACUUUAAAUAGGGCACCGCGUAAUUCCGUUGAGAUGACACCGUUUGAAUUAUGGUUUAGAGAAACCUAAGUUGUCGUUUCUUAAAAGUUUGGGGUUGCGACGCUUAUAUGAAAAAGUUUCAGGUUGAUAAGCUCGAACCCAAAGCGGAUAAAAUGCAUCUUCAUAGGAAACCCAAAACAGUUGGGUAUACCUCCUAAUUCAGAUCCGAAAGCAAUAUGGAUUGUUUCUUGAAUCGGGUCCUUUCUAGAGGAAAAGUUUUUCUCGAAAGAAUUGAGUGGGAGGAUGGUGGAGACUUGAUGAGGUUAUUGAACCGUCUUUUCAACUAGUGUGUGACAGGGCACAGGGAGUUGUUCCUGUGGCACCUACACCAAUUGAAGUGGAAGCUUAUGAUAUUGAUCAUGAAACUUCGGAUCAAGUCACUCCCAAACCUCGUAGGAUGACAAGGAUGCGUACUACUUCAGAGUGGUAUGUAAUCCUGUCUUGAAGGUCAUGUUGCUAGACAACAAUGAACCUACGAGCUAUGGAGAAGCGAUGGUGGGCCCGGAUUCCGAUAAAUGGCUCGAGGCCAUAAAAUCCGAGAACGGAUCCAUGGACUUUGGUGGACUUGCCCGAUGAUCGGCAAGCCAUUAAGAUAAAUGGAUCUUUAAGAAGAAGACGGACGUGGAUGGUAAUGUCACCGUCCAUGAAGCUCGACUUGUGGCGAAAAGUUUUUCACAAGUUCAAGGAGUUGACUACGAUGAGAUUUUAUCAUCCGUAGCGAUGAUUAAAGUCCGUCGGAUUCAUGUUAGCAUUAGCUGUAUUUAUGAAAUCUGGCAGAUGGAUAUCAAAACGAGUUUCCUUACCAGUUUUCGUGAGGAAAGGUUGUAUGUAAUACAAUCAGAAAUUUUUUGUCGAUCCUAAGGAUGCUAAAAGGUAUGCUAGCUCCAGCGAUCCUUCUAAGGACUGGAGUGAGCAUCUCGAAGUUGGAAUGUAUGCUUUGAUGAUGAUCAAAGAUUUUGGGUUUGUACAAAGUUUAUGAGAAACUUGUAUUUCCAAAGAAGUGAGUGGGAGCACUAUAGAAUUUCUGAUGAAUACAUGUUGAUCAGAAAUGAUGUAGAAUUUCUGGAAAGCAUAUAGGGUUAUUUUGAAAGUGUUUUUCAAUAGAAAGCCUGGAUUAAGCUACUUGAACAUUGAGCAUCAAGAUCUAUAAGGAUAGAUCAAAAUGCUUAAUAAUACUUUCAAAUGAGCACAUACCUUGACAUGAUCUUGAAGGUGUUCAAGAUGGACCAGUCAAAGAAGGAGUUCUUGCCUGAGUUGUAAGGUACGAAGUUAAGACUUAAAGCUCGACCACGGCAGAAUAGAGAGAAAGGACGAAGGUCGUCCCCUAUGCUUAAGACGUAGGCUCUUCAGUAUGCUAUGCUGUGUACCGCACCUGAAGUGUGUCUUGCCAUGAGUCUGUCAAGGGGUACAAGAGUGAUCCAAGAAUGGCUCACAGGACAGCGGUCAAAGUUAUCCUUAGUAACUAGUGGACUAAGGAAUUUUCUCGAUUAUGGAGGUGGUAAAAGAGUUCGUCGUAAAGGUUACGACGAUGCAAGCUUGACACCUAUCCGGAUAGCUCUGAGUAGAGAGACCGGAUACAUAUAAUGGAGCAAUAAUUUAGAAUAGCUCCAAGUAGAACAGUUGUUUGGAAUAGCUCCAAAUAGAGCGUGGUAGCUGCAUCUAGGAGAUGACAUGGAGAUUUGUAAAGCACACACGGAUCUGAAAGGUUCAGACCCGUUGACUAAAACCUCUCUCACAAGCAACAUGAUCAAACAUAAAACUCAUUGAGUGUUAAUCACAUAGUGAUGUGAACUAGACUACUGACUCUAGUAAACUCUUGGGUAUUGGUCACAUGGCGAUGUGACCUGUGAGUGUUAAUCACAUGGCGAUGUGAACUAGAUUAUUGACUCUAGUGCAAGUGGGAGACUGUUGGAAAUAUGCCCUAGAGGCAAUAAUAAAAGUAUUAUUAUAUUUCAAUGUUCAUGAUAAAUGUCUUUUAUUCAUGCUAUAACUGUAUUAUCCGGAAAUCGUAAUACACGUGUGAAUACAUAGACCACAAUAUGUCCCUGGUGAGCCUCUAGUUGACUAGCUCGUUGUGAUCAACGGAUAGUCAUGGUUUCCUGACUAUGGACAUUAGAUGUCGUUGAUAACGGGAUCACAUCAUUAGGAGAAUGAUGUGAUGGACAAGACCCAAUCCUAAGCAUAGCACAAAGAUCGUGUAGUUCGUUUGCUAGAGCUUUGCCAAUGUCAAGUAUCUGUUCCUUUGACCAUGAGAUCGUGUAACUCCUGGAUACCGUAGGAGUGCUUUGGGUGUAUCAAACGUCACAACGUAACUGGGUGACUAUAAAGGUGCACUACAGGUAUCUCCGAAAGUACCUAUUGUUUUAUGCGGAUCGAGACUGGGAUUUGUCACUCCGUGUAAACAGAGAGGUAUCUCUGGGCCCACUCGGUAGGACAUCAUCAUAUGCGCAAUGUGACCAAGGAGUUGAUCACGGGAUGAUGUGUUACGGAACGAGUAAAGUGACUUGCCGGUAACGAGAUUGAACAAGGUAUUGGAUACCGACGAUCGAAUCGCGGGCAAGUAACAUACCGAUAGACAAAGGGAAUUGAAUACGGGAUCGAUUGAGUCCUUGACAUCAUGGUUCAUCCGAUGAGAUCAUCGUGGAACAUGUGGGAGCCAACAUGGGUAUCCAGAUCCCGCUGUUGGUUAUUGACUGGAGAACGUCUCGGUCAUGUCUGCAUGUCUCCCGAACCCGUAGGGUCUACACACUUAAGGUUCGAUGACGCUAGGGUUAUAAAGGAAGCUUGUAUGUGGUUACCGAAUGUUGUUCGGAGUCCCGGAUGAGAUCCCGGACGUCACAAGGAGUUCCGGAAUGGUCCGGAGGUAAAGAUUUAUAUAUAGGAAGUCCUGUUUUGGCCAUCGGGACAAGUUUCGGGGUCAUCGGUAUUGUACCGGGACCACCGGAAGGGUCCCGGGGGCCCACCAGGUGGGGCCACCUGCCCCGGGGGGGCACAUGGGCUGUAGGGGGUGCGCCUUGGCCUACAUGGGCCAAGGGCACCAGCCCCAAGAGGCCCAUGCGCCUAGGGAACCCUAGAGGGAAGAGUCCUCAAGGGGGAAGGCACCUCCGAGGUGCCUUGGGGAGGAUGGACUCCUCCCCCCCUCUUGGCCGCCGCACCAGAUGCCAUCUGGAGGCUGGCCGCCGCCCCUUGGGGUGGGAAACCCUAAAGGGGGCGCAGCCCUCCCCUUCCCCUAUAUAUAUGAGGCCUAGGGGCUGCCCAUAACACGCGAUUUGAUCUCUGGUUGGUGCAGCCCUGCCCCUCUCCCUCCUCCUCUUCUCCCAUGGUGCUUGGCGAAGCCCUGCGGGAUUACCAUGCUCCUCCACCACCACCACGCCGUUGUGCUGCUGCUGGAUGGAGUCUUCCUCAACCUCUCCCUCUCUCCUUGCUGGAUCAAGGCGUGGGAGACGUCACCGGGCUGUACGUGUGUUGAACGCGGAGGUGCCGUGCGUUCGGCACUUGAUCAUCGGUGAUCUGAAUCACGACGAGUACGACUCCAUCAACCCCGUUCACUUGAACGCUUCCGCUUAGCGAUCUACAAGGGUAUGUAUAUGCACUCUCUUUCUACUCGUUGCUGGUCUCUCCAUAGAUAGAUCUUGGUGACACGUAGGAAAAUUUUGAAUUUCUGCUACGUUCCCCAACAAGUCUCUCACCGCGCCGCCCUUCGUCCGCCGCGCCGGCGAGCGCCGCCCCGCUCCAGCAGCACAACUCCCGCGCCACCUGAGCUCCUCCGCCGACCGCCGGCGUCGCCUCCUCGCCGCCCGGAGCUCCGGCGAGCUCCUCCGCCGGCCUCCACCGCCCUGGCUUCCUCUCCUUCCUCCUCCGACGUCCCGCAGCUCCGGCGAGCAUGAACCCCGGCCAGUGAACCUCGGGAGGCGAGCAACUACAGUGCCGUCCCAGAUCUGGAUCUGAAGUUUCGAGGGGUUGACUUUUUCGUCCCUAAACCCUAGCAUUUUUGCAUUCUUCCACAUGCCAUAACUUCCUCAUCGUAGCUCCGAUUCGUACGUGUAGCAUAUCAAAAUGUUCGUCUCGACGAGUACAUCAUUUCAUCUCAUUGCAUCAUUUUCAUUUGAGCUCAUCUUGAUGCCCGAAAUGUUCUUGGAAGAGGGCUAUGUGAGGAUUGUUUCAGAUCUGUUUCAGCAAAUGCACUUUUGUCAUUUUUGCCAUGAUUAAUGUAUGCAUGCUAUGAUCCUGAGCUCUACAUGUGUUUUGAAGAAUGCCAUGUCAUCUUUACAGAGGUGUAUGCCAUGUAUUUUUGUGAUCUUUGUGGUGACUAGCACAAGCAUGCAAAGUAGCUUACUCAAUGAUGCUGAUUUUAGGGACUUAGAAUUUUACCAAGUCCUUGCCCUGUCAUUACUUUUAUGCCAUAUGUUCAUGUUGUUUCCUAGUGAUCCGUGCCUCUUUUGAGCAUGAUCAGUAAGGAUGUUUUGUAGAUAAUGUUGUGCUCUAUCCAUCCAUGUCUUUGUUUGCAAUUAUAGAGCACCGUAGCUUGAGUCAAUCGAGCUCUACCUUUGCUAUAAAAUGUUCUUGGCUGAUUGUUAACAUGUUUAGCGAUUUUGCCGAGCUUGUUGUAGUUGAUCCAUGCAUGCUACGUUGUUGUUCUUGCCAUGUCUAGCUUCUAUGCCAUGUCUAUUUGCUGGGUGUAUGCUUAGUUUGUCAUUCAAUGCCUCAUAGUGAGUGCAUUGAGCUCGUAAACAUGCCUACUUGUUAACUGUUUUGCAUGCUCCAGUUUUUCACUAAGUCUGAAUAUGUUUUCGUUAAUUUCUAUGUUCACAUGCUUGCAAUUGUAUCUUCUGAUCCCUUUUGGCUCAUGGUCACUAAGGCUCUUUUGUUAUAUGCUUUGAGUAGCUUCAUGCCAUGCCUUGCUUUGCCAUGAUAUGUUCCUGUAGCAUGUAGUUAUCGUGCUCUAAACAUUGCUUCCUGAUGAUAAAUUCCUGACAUGCUGUUAAUUUCACUAAGUCUGAAACCAGUAAUCUUUUACACUUUUGCCAUGCUUGUUUGAGCUUGCUAUUGAGUGAAUUAGCCGUAACUCAUUGUUCAUCUUUUGUCAAGCAUCAUGAGUGGAUACCUGCCAUGUAUUUUGUUGCUAUGUUUGAGUGUUGUAGCAUGUUGUUCUUGAUGCAUUUAGAAGGCUACUUGUUGUUAAUCGCAGACCGGUGCCAUAUUUGUUUUGCUUGCCAUUUCCAAACCGUGCAUUUGAUUCCGGUGAUCUUUAUAUCGAUUUCAACCAAAAUCACCUCACCUUUCUAGUGGCACUCUUGGAUUUCCAAGUUGAGGCCAGGUUCAUUCAUUCCUUUGCAAAUCAUGCAUGUGCAUCACAUAUCGCAUCCCGCAUAUCAUACCAUGUUUGCAUCAUGUUGCUUGAGCAUUGCACGUGGUUGAUUGUGUUCCUUUUUGCUUGUUGUUCUUGCUUGGGUAGAGCCGGGAGACGAGUACAUGAUCGAGGAGCCCGUUGAGUACGCUUACAAGGAUCAAGGCAACUCUGAGAACUUUGCAGGCAAGAUGACCAUACCCUCGAAAUCACUUCUAUCUUUGCUUGCUAGAUGCUCGCUCUUUUGCUAUGCCUAUGCUACGAUACCUACCACUUGCUUAUCAUGCCUCUCUAAUUUCCAUGUCAAACCUCUAACCCACCAUGUCCUAGCAAACCGUUGUUUGGCUAUGUUACCGCUUUGCUUAGCCCCCUCUUAUAGCAUUGCUAGUUGCAGGUGAAGUUUGGAGAUUGUUCCUGGUUGGAACAUGUUUAUUGUUGGGAUAUCACAAUAUUAUCUUGUUUAUCUUAAUGCACCUAUAUACUUGGUAAAGGGUGGAAGGCUCGGCCUUAUGCCUGGUGUUUGUUCCACUCUUGCCGCCCUAGUUUCCGUCAUAUCGGUGUUAUGUUCCCGGAUUUUUGCGUUCCUUACACGGUUGGGUUAUAAUGGGAACCCCUUGACAGUUCGCCUUGAAUAAAACUCUUCCAGCAUGGCCCAACAUUGGUUUUACCUUUCGCCACCUAGUCUNNNNNNNNNNNNNNNNNNNNNNNNNNNNNNNNNNNNNNNNNNNNNNNNNNNNNNNNNNNNNNNNNNNNNNNNNNNNNNNNNNNNNNNNNNNNNNNNNNNNNNNNNNNNNNNNNNNNNNNNNNNNNNNNNNNNNNNNNNNNNNNNNNNNNNNNNNNNNNNNNNNNNNNNNNNNNNNNNNNNNNNNNNNNNNNNNNNNNNNNNNNNNNNNNNNNNNNNNNNNNNNNNNNNNNNNNNNNNNNNNNNNNNNNNNNNNNNNNNNNNNNNNNNNNNNNNNNCAACUCUAGGCUGGCCUACCCGACAUCUGGCUCAUCUGAGUGUGCCCUGAGAAUGAGAUAUUUGCAGCUCCUAUCGGGAUUUGUCGGCACAUUUGGGCGGCUUUGCUGGUUUAGUUUUACCAUUGUCGAAAUGUCUUGUAACCGGGAUGCCGAGUCUGGUAGGAUUGUCUUGGGAGAAGGAAUAUCCUUCGUUGACCGUGAGAGCUUGUGAUGGGCUAAGUUGGGACACCCCUACAGGGAUUUGAACUUUCGAAAGUCGUGCCCGUGGUUAUGGGUAGAUGGGAAUUUGUUGAUGUCCGGUUGUAGAUAACGUGAAACUUAACUUAAUUAAAAUGCAUCAACCGUGUGUGUAACCGUGAUGGUCUCUUCUCGGCGGAGUCCGGGAAGUGAACACGGUGUUGGAGUAAUGCUUGACAUAGGUUGUUCUAGGAUCACUUCGUGGUCAUAGUUUGUCGCUCGUGCCUUUGGCUUCUCUUCUCGCUCUCUUUUGCGCAUAUGUUAGCCACCAUAUAUGCUAGUCGCUUGCUGCAGCUCCACCUCAUACCUUUGCCUUACCUAUAAGCUUAAAUAGUCUUGAUCGUGAGGGUGUGAGAUUGCUGAGUCCCUGUGACUCACAGAUUACUUCCAAAACCAGAUGCAGGGACCGAUGAUACCGCUCCAGGUGAUUCAACUGGUCUCAAGUGGCAUUUCGAUGAGGACUCAGGACAAUACUACGUGUCUUUCCCAGAUGAUCAGUAGUGGUGCCCAGUUGGGGCGAUCGGGGACUAUGUCGCUUUUGGGGGUUGAUCUUCAUUUUGGUUCCGUAGUCGUACCUUGAGUGCAUUUGGAUGAAUGUAAUGUUAUUUAUGCAUUUGUGUGACGUGGCAAGUGUAAGCCAACUAUGUACCUUUUCCCUUAUUGUAUUACAUGGGUUGUUGUGAAGAUUACCUCACUUGCGACAUUGCUUUCAAUGCGGUUAUGCCUCUAAGGCAUGCUUCGACACGUGGGAGAUAUAGCCGCAUCGAGGGCGUCACAAGUUGGUAAUCAGAGCCUUCCCCGAUCUUAGGAGCCCCCUGCUUGAUCGAAUCGUUGGCGUUGUGGAGUCUAGAAAAAUGUUUUGAGUCAUUUAGGAUUAUAUAUAUAUAUCGGAGAGUAGGACUUCUUUUUACUCAGUCCCUUCGUCGCUCUGGUGAGGCCUCCUGGCGUAGAGUUUUGACUCUUCUCUUCUCAAAUUUCACUAAAAAAUAAUUUAGGAUCACGCAGGUAUCUGGGAAUCGUUCCGAUGGUUUUGUGAUGAGAACAUUGUUCUUGGUGCCUCCUGACAUUUAGGGGUUGUGGCAGUGUCCGAGGGAGUUGAGCUCCG